GAUGCUCUUCUCGGGAUAGCUCCCUUAGUCAUGAUGGUGGCCGCACUGGUGGAGGUCGCUGACGUCCUGUCGCCCGUCCAUUUCUUGCCAGACCGGGGAUCAGAUUGGAGAGGGGAAUACAUAGAUGAGGUGCGGAAGGCUGCACCGGCUCGGUUCUUUCCAGAUCCGGGGGCGGACUAACAACGACGAAUUUCGUGGAGCUCCGGUGACAUGGCGAUGGGAGGCGGCGAUGCUCCUCCUAGGCGCUAGUUGGGGGGAGGGGGAGAUUAGGAAGACAAUGCUGACAAGCGGGCCCCACAUCCUACAAGAUGGUUCAGCAUAACAGUGUGAGAUAUUGAUGUCACAUCAGCCUGACUAAUGGGCCUCAUAUGUCAUAAACACGUUUAACGAGCCAAUUCCGUAGAUCAAAAAGAUUACGGAAGACAUGAUGUUUUCUACAAAGAAAAUGUAUUGUAAUGUUUAUCGCAAAUCGAAUCUCUAAAAUGAUGGUUUUCUG
This 496-nucleotide long non-coding RNA is filed under the name Hordeum vulgare. RNAcentral describes it as "long non-coding RNA (HVUL_LNC015141)". Lineage: Eukaryota; Viridiplantae; Streptophyta; Magnoliopsida; Poales; Poaceae. The record is from RNAcentral.